Molecule: unclassified non-coding RNA, 665 nt
Filed under: uncultured bacterium
Lineage: Bacteria
Description: partial contains 16S ribosomal RNA, 16S-23S ribosomal RNA intergenic spacer, and 23S ribosomal RNA
Rfam family: tRNA (bases 124-197)
Source: RNAcentral
GUCGUAACAAGGUAGCCGUAGGGGAACCUGCGGUUGGAUCACCUCCUUACCUGAAGAUACCUUCCCGCGCAGUGUCCACACAGAUUGUCUGAUGAAAAAGUAACGAGCAGAAAAAACCUCUACAGGCUUGUAGCUCAGGUGGUUAGAGCGCACCCCUGAUAAGGGUGAGGUCGGUGGUUCAAGUCCACUCAGGCCUACCAAAUUCUUUCCUGUCCUGCGUUGUGACUUCACUUGCAUAGCGAGCUAUGCGUCGCGAAGCCACGCCUUGGACAGAAAAGAAUUACAUUUUUGUGUCAACAGGAAUGUGACUCGGUUGAGUGGUAGUAGUUGGUCUCUGCAGUAACUGUAUAGGGCUAUAGCUCAGCUGGGAGAGCGCCUGCCUUGCACGCAGGAGGUCAGCGGUUCGAUCCCGCUUAGCUCCACCAUGCAGUUGUCUGAAAAUACUUCAGAGUGUACCGGCGACGGUAUGCUGCGAAGUAUUAUGCUCUUUAACAAUCCGGAAUAAGCUGAAAAUUGAAACGACGUGUCGCGUUCAUUCUCCGUAAUAAGAAUGAAAAAUGGCGACAUGUUCGAGUCUCUCAAAUGCUUACAGCUGACUUGAGUCCUGCGGGACGCUUGUGGGUUGUGAGGUUAAGUGACUAAGCGUACACGGUGGAUGCCUUGGC